This 210-nucleotide long non-coding RNA is filed under the name Vigna radiata. RNAcentral's name for it is "long non-coding RNA (VRAD_LNC004259)". Lineage: Eukaryota; Viridiplantae; Streptophyta; Magnoliopsida; Fabales; Fabaceae. The record is from RNAcentral.
CGGGAGAUUGAAAAUUCAUUCACUUUAUCUUAGCGCGCAUGACCCUUUUCUCUGCUCAAACUUUUUUCAAACGAAGUUUGACGACCAUCACAUGUAAUCUUUCUUUCAUUAGAUACAAAUGCAUGUUAAUUAACUUUAGGUAUGACUUUCGUUUGUUUUCACCGAUUAUUUUCUUGUUCUUGUCCUUCAUAGGCACAUUCUGCUUUCUCU